CCUACGGGAGGCAGCAGUGGGGGAUAUUGCACAAUGGGGGAAACCCUGAUGCAGCGACGCCGCGUGUGGGAAGACGGUCCUCUGGAUUGUAAACCACUGUCCCCAGGGACGAAGAUGACGGUACCUGGGGCGGAAGCUCCGGCAAACUACGUGCCAGCAGCCGCGGUAAUACGGAGGGAGCGAGCGUUGUCCGGAAUUACUGGGUGAAAGGGGAGCGUAGGCGGGACUGCAAGUUGGGUGUCAAAUCUACCGGUUCAACCGGUAGCCGCACUCAAAACUGCAGUUCUUGAGUGAAGUAGAGGCAGGCGGAAUUCCUGGUGUAGCGGUGAAAUGCGUAGAUAUUAGGAGGAACACCAGUGGCGAAGGCGGCCUGCUGGGCUUUUACUGACGCUGAGGCUCGAAAGUGCGGGGAGCAAACAGGAUUAGAUACCCCGGUAGUC
Molecule: ribosomal RNA, 440 nt
Filed under: uncultured bacterium
Lineage: Bacteria
Description: partial 16S ribosomal RNA
Rfam family: Bacterial small subunit ribosomal RNA
Source: RNAcentral